Molecule: unclassified non-coding RNA, 354 nt
Filed under: soil metagenome
Description: partial contains 5.8S ribosomal RNA, internal transcribed spacer 2, and large subunit ribosomal RNA
Rfam family: 5.8S ribosomal RNA (bases 1-120)
Source: RNAcentral
GAUGAAGAACGUAGCGAAAUGCGAUAAGUAAUGUGAAUUGCAGAAUUCCGUGAAUCAUCGAAUCUUUGAACGCACAUUGCGCCCCCUGGCAUUCCGGGGGGCAUGCCUGUCCGAGCGUCAUUUCUGCCCUCCAGCCCGGCUGGGUGUUGGGCGCUGUCCCCCCGGGGACACGCCCCAAAGGCAGAGGCGGCGCCGCGUCGGGUCCUCGAGCGUAUGGGGCUUUGUCACCCGCUCGGGACGGACUCGUCGGCGCUGGUCUUCCUCCAGGCGACCCUUCGGGGCUCGUCUUCCUUCGGUUGACCUCGGAUCAGGUAGGGUUACCCGCUGAACUUAAGCAUAUCAAUAAGCGGAGGA